UCAUUCGGGUAAUCGCUGCAGUCUUCAGGGCUGCAGAGGAAAGUCCAUGCUCGCACGGUGCUGAGAUGCCCGUAGUGUUCGUGCCUAGCGAAUAAAUAAGCUAGGGCAGUCUGGUUUGCCAGGCUGACGGCGGGGAAAGAGCCUAAGUCUUUAGAUAUGGCUUCAAUACCCUGAAAAGUGCCACAGUGACGGAGUCCUGAAAGAAAUUUCAGGAGUGGAACGAGGUAAACCCCUCGAGCGAGAAACCCAAAUAUUGGUAGGGGCAUCUUCUCUAAGGAACUCAACAAGGAGAAGGACAGAGCGAUCUGUAGAUAGAUGAUUACCACCUGAGUACGAGGCUUUGCCGUUUGCAGUACAAAGGAACAAAACAUGGCUUACAGAA
Molecule: RNase P RNA, 382 nt
Filed under: Metabacillus lacus
Lineage: Bacteria; Bacillati; Bacillota; Bacilli; Caryophanales; Bacillaceae
Description: Bacterial RNase P class B
Rfam family: Bacterial RNase P class B
About the family: Ribonuclease P (RNase P) is a ubiquitous endoribonuclease, found in archaea, bacteria and eukarya as well as chloroplasts and mitochondria. Its best characterised activity is the generation of mature 5'-ends of tRNAs by cleaving the 5'-leader elements of precursor-tRNAs.
Source: Rfam by way of RNAcentral